UCCAAGUGAACCCGCAGGGCUAUUACGUAAUUUGCAAUAGCAAAGCGAUCGCAAAAAUUGUACAAUUUUUGCUUUCAAAUGGCUAAAAACGUCAAAUUCGUAUUACCUAAGAGCAAAAACAAAGCGAUAGCAAAGCAAACGGUUUUUAACACAGUGCUGCCUCUGUCGAACAAUCGGUAAAGUAAAACAGCAUUCAAUCUCUAUAGACACAGCAGAUUUUGGUAUUACGUAUGAGUUUUAAGAGCGAUCGAAUAGCAAUCAGCGAACAAAUACAACUGUCAAAUAGCAAAUGGUAAAUCAUUGAUUGUUGGUCGAUCGCUCGCUGAUCGCUCAGUUCGUAACGCUGUUUAUUAAUAGUUUUAAGUUGAUUAUUAAGGGUUUUUGUUUCAAUUUGUGCCUAUUUGGAUAUGGCUAGUGUAUUUUUAUUGUUAGAAGCUAUGAAUGGGGAAACUAGAAAAGCGUAAGACAUCUACUUUGCGGCGCAAUCUUCGGGAUGAUGCCGAAGCUUUGGAUCUGCCUAAUAAUUAAAUCCCAAGAAUUGUGCGAUGAAUUAAGGCCUUAUAAGUCGCAAACACGCAGGAGAAAUAAAAAUUUGUGUUGAGUGUAAAGUGAGUAAAGCUAUUUUAUUAUUUCUGCUCCUAUAUACAUUGUCUAAAAAUUUAUAAAUAGUCUUUACGAUUACAUUUUCCAUAACAGGUGCUAACAGUACUCUCCUUCACUAUAGGCUCAUAUCAAAAACCUGCAGGUAUGAGCUAGUCACAUGUUCUGAGCCAAGCUAAUGUGUCAAAUUUAGUAAAUAAGGUGAUGAAAGCUCUAAAUUCGAGAGAAAUUUUGAUGAGAUAUAUUUGUUUCCCUCAGUCAUGGCAGCAAAGAAAUAAUGACAUAUAUGGGUAUGGUCCUAAUUAUAUAAAAUUGUAUUUAAUUUAAAGUAAAAUUUACAAACUUCAUUUCUUUCAGUUUUUCAAACAAAUUUGGCUGUGUGGGUUGCAUUGAUUAACAUGCUGAAUAUUUUUUAAUGGAAAGGAUUACCACGGUAUAAAUGUUCAAGUUAUAUGUUACAGUGAUUCAAAUAUAAUUAAUGUGGAUGCAUCAUUUAGUGGGAUGAGUCAUGAUGCAUAUAUCUGGAGAAACUGUGAAAUGCAGGCUCAAUUACAAAACUUACACAGUAGAGGAGAAAGGAUCUGGUUAUUAGGGGACUUGGGGCAUCCAUUAAUAACAUGGCUUUCAAAUCCAAUUGUGAAUGCAGAAAAAGGUUCCGCAGAACAUUAUACCAAUAUUUACUACAACUUCGCCAGGAAUUUGAUUGAGCAUUACAUUGGAAUAUUAAAGCAUGUUGGAAAGUUUGCUAGCCAUAGUGUUGGAUUAUGAUCAUCAUAAUAUGGUAGCAAUAAUUACCAAUGCCUGUGUUGUUUUGUACAUCUGCUACAGACUUAGACUGCUAGUUCCACCUUUGGCAAA
This 1458-nucleotide long non-coding RNA is filed under the name Manduca sexta (tobacco hornworm). Its description in RNAcentral is "uncharacterized LOC119188992, transcript variant X1". The record is from RNAcentral. Lineage: Eukaryota; Metazoa; Arthropoda; Insecta; Lepidoptera; Sphingidae.